UUAGUUGUUGCUGUGAGCUUCUUGUGACGUGUGUUUUUGCUUCGCUUGGAGGAUUGGAUUGGAUACGCCUAAUUUGGUCGCUUUUUCAUGAAAGUUUGCUUUCUACCAUGGUUUGUCUAUCUUCACCGACGACGACGUUCUUGUAGGCUCCACGACACCUGGAGUGCUGCUAUUAGGUUAACGUCCCAACGUGAGCUAAACUCUAAGAUGACUAGAUGAGUGGCCGACAUGUUGUCCAAUAAGUGAUAUUUACCUGAGAAAUUUUACGGUAUUUGAGAGGUAUUAAAAUUUAUGCUAAAUUAAUCAAAAGUACGGUACUUUUUAAGUAUUAUAAAAUCACUAUAUUUGCGUCCUUUGAAGCGAGGUAAUUAUGAAGGAAUUUGAUAAAUUUUAUUUGAAAUGCGGGAAUUUUGUAUGAAUUAUUUUUCUCAUAUAAGAUCACUCAGAGACAAGUGUAUAUACCUAGUUGUUGCUUGUUCCAAUCCAACCAGACGAGCACAUGGAUAAUUACUAGAGAGUAGAUGCAUGGAGUGAUGUGUGUAUAUCUACAAGGCAACAUGGACAGGUGCGAGAGGUAUCAAUCACACAAGCCCCAAUAAUUCAGGCUCCAUAACACUAAGACAAUGCAGCACAAACCGGUCCAAAUACUGUCCCUCACUGCACUUGUACUGCUGCUCCCUGUUCAGUCUAUUCUCCUUAACCUGUUCUAAUAAUUCUGCCCGUAAUUCCGAUCAAGGAGGAGAAAGAAGCGUUCUUGCACAUCUACACUGACUUUUUUUUAUCUUGCCCCCAAUUAGUGGUAGAUGCUGACCUGCUGGGCAGAGGAGAUGAUCAUGAUGUCUCGUACAGUAAUUAUUCUGAACCUUGCAAACUGUUUGUUACUAAUCUCGUCAGAUCUAGCCAUGUGUGAUACUAGCUAGUACAUUUAUGGUGCCUCAUGCAUGAUUGUUCAUGUACCUUGAUAACUGUUGUUGAUGUGAUUUUCCAACAGUUUUUGCACAUGAGUUUUAAGGCCUGAAAUCAAAACGAUUGGUUUCAGAGUACAGGUUACAGCAACUGCAUGUUUUCUACACUGAAAUUAAGCAUAGGGACACUCUGUUGGUACUCUAUAAGCUACACCUGGAAUCUGAAGGUAGUACAUGUUCUGACCUAGAAAACAUUCCUAGUUCAGAGCGCACCACACAGGCCGAGUUUAGAUCUAAAGUUUUUCUUUAAACUUUCAACUUUUCCAUCACAUCAAAACUUUUCUAUACACACAAACUUCCAAUUUUUUCCGUCACAUCGUUUCAAUUUCAACCAAACUUCCAAUUUUGGUAUGAACUAAACACACCCGGAUUC
RNAcentral lists this small RNA (1338 nucleotides) under Oryza sativa Japonica Group (Japanese rice). RNAcentral's name for it is "sRNA Os06g0140950". The record is from RNAcentral. Lineage: Eukaryota; Viridiplantae; Streptophyta; Magnoliopsida; Poales; Poaceae.